Oreochromis niloticus (Nile tilapia) is the source of this 2724-nucleotide long non-coding RNA. RefSeq lists it as uncharacterized. The transcript has 2 exons. The record is from RefSeq and is a predicted model, not a curated record. Lineage: Eukaryota; Metazoa; Chordata; Actinopteri; Cichliformes; Cichlidae.
UAGACUUCUUCUCUCUGUUUGAUCUCUGAGCUGACUUCAACAAUAACUUCAUCUAAACCAUCAACAUGUCUGUUAGAACCCAUCCAUGCAACACUGCUCACAGAUGUGUUACCUUCACUUCCACAUUAUAUCAGGUCAUCCUCUUCCUCCAAAAGAAAUGAGAAUUUUACUUUGGGGUUCAAAGCUUCUUUGUCUCCUGUUUCCUCCACCAGCUGAGCAGCUCUCCAUCAGACACAAGUCUGUCCCCAUCCUCCAGCUCUGAUGCAUUUCUGUUUGGUGGUUCUAUCCUGCUGAGCAUCGAGGUGCAGGAUGUCCACAGAAGCACAGACGGAGCAGCCACACAGCUGUCCAAGAAGGCAAGCUGCAUCUAGCUCUAAAACCUUAUCCACAGGCAUCACCUCUCAGACACCUACUGACACUUAGACACGUGCAUGCUGAUGAGUACAAUGUUCAUAUAGUGUUGCAGGAUGCAGAGCCCACGGUGCAGCUUAGGACUGGAUAAAUGAUCACAUGUUAAUCUCAGUUAUGAUUGUUGACUUCCAUCACUCAUGAACACAAGAUCAUUGGAAUAAAAUGAUUCUUUUUGCAUUAACAGUCAUUAUGAAUAUUAUAAAUUCAUAAUUCUUAUAAAUCAAGUAAACUUCUUUCCUUUGUAGAAGUUUAAACACACUCACAGUUUAGUUCAGCUCAAGCCAAGAUCUCAAAAAGAAGCUUUGAAAAGCUCAACACUAUGCAAGUUUCUCUCUUGCAUUUUGUCAUCUAUAUGUCAUUGGGUGGAAGUAAAUUUAAUGUUUUAUUCUGUUGUAUUAGUUUGUUUUGAUAGUUUACAUGGUUCUAUAUUUAUUGUUUGCAUGCUUUUAUUUUGAAAGAUUAGUAUUAUUUCCUAUCCACAUCUUCCCAUCUUCACCAUCUGCUCAGUCACCUGUUAUAAAGAUGAAGGUCAGCACAGUGAAGCAGAGUGGACACACAGCAGGGUCACAGCUGAGCGAGCAGCAAAAUGGUCGUCAUGGAAACCUGUCCACAGAGUUCUGUCUGUGGAGCUGACGUCAGUGGACGAGGAGCUGGACCCAGAAAAAUAAGGGACUCAACUUGUGAAAGACUGAUCGCUUAAGAGAUGAUCUGUGUUACGACUGUUGCACCCGUGCACAUCAUCACAUCAGAGUUUGAUCUUGUGUCAACCUCCUGUUCAUCACAGAGUUCACAUUAUGAGCUACAGGGAUGGAAAUUAACAUCUCAGCAGAGGACCAGAGGAGGAAGAGGAAACCAGCUUGUGCUGUACCUCAGAUGGUGAAUACAGAUACUAAUAAACCAGAAUAUUAACACAAUUCUACGUUCUUUCCAAGAGUGUUUGCAAACAAACACAAACAUUUGAAAUUCACCAUCUCAUCUACAGCAGUGAUCUACUGUUUACUCUGUGAGAGAGAAACAGUCUUUUUCAUCUUCAGCUACAUGAUAACAAGCUUUUAUUGUGUUGAACCAUUUCUUAGAUCUUAAAGUGAAGCUGAUUACACUCAGACACUGAAGCAAACCUCUCACUGUAUUUUAUAUAGAAGCUGGAUGACUGCAGAGCAACAGUUUGUAACAUAUAAAAAAUGCUCUGAUAGUUUUCAUCUGUACCUCGACCCAGAUUGUUAAAACAACCUCACCCUAAUCUUGCAAUGCUUCAUAUCAAAGUUUUUUUUAUUAUUCAAUGUCCAUUAAGAUAAAAUGAAUACAGCUUAUAGGAAAAAGUCCUUCUGACUGAUUCUUCUUUAAGGGGUCCAGACUCAUAGCAGGUCUAUUUAAUGGACCAUUUUAACAACACAGUCAUCAGGCUGUCACUGCUCCCUGUGAACACUUUAAACUUUGGACCUAAAUGGCACAAUUAGCCUUGGGCAAAAAGUCAAAGUCCAGUUUUGUGAGUACAGAAAACACGUGCAUGAUAUUUGUUUGUGAAGGAGUGAUGGGAACUGAUAACACUGUAUUUCCUCAUACUUCUGGAGCUUUGACAAACUGACUGAUGUUUGUUGUUGUAGAUCUGCAGCAUCCUCAUACAGGAAGUCUGGUUCGGCUCUCUGAUAAAAAGAAAAGUCUUCAUCUCUGGUCCUCUGAGUCUUACAGUAGAUAACACAGAGGUCACAGGGAGUUUCUGUGGAUGCUUUAAUGUCCAAGUGUCUUUCCUGCUCACCCUGAUAUGAAAAAGACCGAGUAGCCCUGCAGGUCAAAUCUGAUCAGUUACACCUGUUAUGGCUAAAUUUAACAACACUGACCAUUUCAUUAAAAGUAAUGAGCAGAUAAUGAGGGUAAAUUCUAUAGCAACAAAGUUUCAGCACAAUAAGGUGUAUGAGUUUGGGAAGAAAUAAAGUUUACUAACAGUAGUAAGGUGUUAUUGCCAUCAGCUAUUGAUGGGGUUAUUGGCAAUAAGAAUAUUGCCGAAUUAUGGAGAAAAUAUUACAGAAAAAAAUCUUAACUGUGUAAAGAGUGAAAGAUUGCGUUUAUCUAAUAUUAGUUUCAAUAAUGGCUAUUCAACCUGAAAAAGUACAACCUGCCAUUAAGAGGAUGCCUCCAAGCUGGUGGUUUAGACCCAUUAUCAGCAGCUGUCAAGUUAGAUGAAUGUAAAACUGGGUGUAUGCUGGGUAAUCUUCUUGUUUAUCAUUUAAUGUACACUGACGCUGUUAAGGGAAAAUCCCAAAUGGCAAACUGCAAAUAUAAACAGAACACAAUGAGACAGCGUAAUGAAUCACA